Molecule: ribosomal RNA, 315 nt
Filed under: Triticum aestivum (bread wheat)
Lineage: Eukaryota; Viridiplantae; Streptophyta; Magnoliopsida; Poales; Poaceae
Description: partial small subunit ribosomal RNA
Source: RNAcentral
AUGAUUGCUCUUAUCGGUAUAGCUCCUACCGAGGCUGAGGCUGAUGUAGAGGAGGGAGAAGAGAAGAAGAAGAGGGAAAAGAAAGCAGCCGGAGCUGCUUUCACGUGGAUUCAAAAUAACUUUGCGAUGUGCCCUCCGGAUGCCACUGAUGAUGUGAUCCAGACACAUGCUCGUGUGUAUAUGUGGUACGUUGUGUCGAGGACUUUGUUUCCUGACUCCACUGGCAAGAACGCUCCAUGGAUGUGGCUGAAGGCGUUGACCGUCUUCGAUAGCAAAUGGAGCUGGGGUUCAGCGACUCUUGCCUACUUGUACUGA